Molecule: transfer RNA, 91 nt
Filed under: Olavius algarvensis Gamma 1 endosymbiont
Lineage: Bacteria; Pseudomonadati; Pseudomonadota; Gammaproteobacteria
Also listed under: 8 other names
Rfam family: tRNA
About the family: Transfer RNA (tRNA) molecules are approximately 80 nucleotides in length. Their secondary structure includes four short double-helical elements and three loops (D, anti-codon, and T loops).
Source: RNAcentral
GGAGAGAUGGCCGAGCGGCUGAAGGCGCUCCCCUGCUAAGGGAGUAUGGGUUAAAAGCCCAUCGAGGGUUCGAAUCCCUCUCUCUCCGCCA